AUUGAACGCUGGCGGCAGGCCUAACACAUGCAAGUCGAGCGAGAAAGGUCUUCGGACUGAGUACAGCGGCGGACGGGUGAGUAAAGCGUAGGAAUCUACCUGGUAGUGGGGGAUAACUUGGGGAAACUCAAACUAAUACCGCAUACGCCCUACGGGGAAAGCGGGGACCGUUCGGGCCUCGCGCUAUCAGAUGAGCCUGCGUAGGAUUAGCUAGUUGGUGAGGUAAAGGCUCACCAAGGCGACGAUCCUUAGCUGGUCUGAGAGGAUGAUCAGCCACACUGGGACUGAGACACGGCCCAGACUCCUACGGGAGGCAGCAGUGGGGAAUAUUGCGCAAUGGGCGAAAGCCUGACGCAGCCAUGCCGCGUGUGUGAAGAAGGCCUUAGGGUUGUAAAGCACUUUCAAUUGGGAAGAAAAGUUGGUCGUUAAUAAGCGGCCAGCCCUGACAUUACCUUUAGAAGAAGGACCGGCUAACUCCGUG
RNAcentral lists this ribosomal RNA (481 nucleotides) under uncultured bacterium. RNAcentral describes it as "bacterial SSU rRNA". It matches the Rfam family "Bacterial small subunit ribosomal RNA", at positions 30 to 507 of the family's 1533-position model. The record is from RNAcentral.